This 484-nucleotide ribosomal RNA is filed under the name uncultured bacterium. Its description in RNAcentral is "partial 16S ribosomal RNA". It matches the Rfam family "Bacterial small subunit ribosomal RNA", at positions 28 to 507 of the family's 1533-position model. The record is from RNAcentral.
AUUGAACGCUGGCGGCAUGCUUUACACAUGCAGGUCGAACGGCAGCGCGGGCUUCGGCCUGGCGGCGAGUGGCGAACGGGUGAGUAAUGCAUCGGAACGUGCCCAGUAGUGGGGGAUAGCCCGGCGAAAGCCGGAUUAAUACCGCAUACGACCUGAGGGUGAAAGCGGGGGACCGAAAGGCCUCGCGCUAUUGGAGCGGCCGAUGUCGGAUUAGCUAGUUGGUGGGGUAAAGGCUUACCAAGGCGACGAUCCGUAGCUGGUCUGAGAGGACGACCAGCCACACUGGGACUGAGACACGGCCCAGACUCCUACGGGAGGCAGCAGUGGGGAAUUUUGGACAAUGGGGGCAACCCUGAUCCAGCCAUGCCGCGUGCGGGAAGAAGGCCUUCGGGUUGUAAACCGCUUUUGUUCGGGAAGAAAUCCUCUGGGCUAAUACCCCGGGGGGAUGACGGUACCGGAAGAAUAAGCACCGGCUAACUACGUG